AAAUUGCCUAAGCUUCAUUUGGGUCUAUUCAAAUGAACUGAAUAGAUGGUUUGCGACAGGUACCUAUAACACACACUAAAAGCAUCUCCAAGUGUCAUUCAGAACUUAUUUAAUGCAUGCAUAAUAAAAUAAAUAAGAUACAGUGCUGGCCAGAACAUAAUCUUUUAACAACGGCCACAUCCAAUGAAACAAUAUGUUUAGCUGGCAGCAAACGUUGUAAGUCAAUGAAACCGAGACCUAUCAGCACCAUGACGUAAUUAAUGUUCACGACAUAAUUCCAGCAGCCGCAGUCGCGCAUACACGCGCAAGAUUUCACGCGCAAGAUUUCACGCGCAAAAACCGUUACAACCGUUGCAGCGCAAGCACAGGGACUGAGAGGAACAGCGCACCUAUCUGAGGGACUGAAACAAAUAUGAGCACAGAAGUUAUUCAAUGGACUACUCAAGAUGUGACUGGUUGACUGGAAAAAGUUUCCACAAAUUUAUCCUAAUUUCCUAAUUAUUUCAAGAGAAUGAAAUUGAUGGGGAUACGUUAAUUAACCUAACUGAGAAUAUGAGCUAAAUGUUUUCCUAAAAUAAAGGAUCAAGUUAAAUUCAUUAGACUACACAGAAACAAAUAAAGACUGAAAUGCCUACCAAGACUACACACAUCAGUCAUGAGUGUCCAACAAGUUACCAAUUAAACAAGGUGUGAUUAUCCCUUGUCACCAAAUACCAGUUCUUGAGAGACUGUUAAGAGAAUGGAACCACAAGAUUUCAUCAAAAGUCCAACAGAUAACCAGUGCAGAGGUAAAGCAUGUCAGACAAAGUGACACCUUAAUGGACAAUUAUAAUUUUAAAAUGCUUUGUGUUUUUUAUUUUAUAAAACUGAGGAAAACCAAGACAUGUGCAGCAUAGAAAGAGUCUGAACAGGGGAAGAUGAUUACAGCAUUGGGGUGCACUUUGAAAAAGUGAAAACAAGAAUGCUUGAAAAAACACCAAAUAUUAAACUUUUUAGAGGACUGCAUGGCAUAGACAAUGACUGCGAGGACUAAAUCCCUAUCCAGCCCUUAAAGUCCCUUCAGUUCUUGCAUUUGAGGUCCAAAGCAUACUUGACACAGACAUUGAAAGAAACAUGCUGAAGAAUCUAGGCCUGGUGGCACAGAAAGUGAUUAAUGAGUGCCACAGAAGACAUUUUGGAGUGCAUAUCUGUACCGAACUGGAUGAAGCAAAACAAGCCUACAUUGAUUUGGCACACAGAGGUCUCUCAAUGGCUGCUGCUGCUACCAUGUUGCUUCCAUUUCUUUUCAAGGAGAGCCCAAGAUUCCUUUAUGUCAUUAAUCAGGUACCAAAUACACCCAACCCAGUUCUAUAAAAGGAAGCCCUUUGGGUGCAGAUUCAAUCCUGGAGAUAAUGAUGGAAGGUGUGAAAGUCUUUGAGGUAGAAGAUGUCACUAUAGUGCUUGUGCAGUCUACUUCAUCUUCAGCAUUGAAAAAUUUAUUUUUAAAUUAAUGAAUGUUUAUGUAAAUGCAUAAAGUGGAAAGUACAUACAUGAUGUGGAUGAAUCAACAUAAGAUAUAUUUUAAAUAUA
Misgurnus anguillicaudatus (oriental weatherfish) is the source of this 1569-nucleotide non-coding RNA. NCBI's taxonomy places the organism in Eukaryota, Metazoa, Chordata, Actinopteri, Cypriniformes, Cobitidae. The record is from RefSeq and is a predicted model, not a curated record.